This 499-nucleotide ribosomal RNA is filed under the name uncultured Sphingobacteriales bacterium. RNAcentral's name for it is "bacterial SSU rRNA". It matches the Rfam family "Bacterial small subunit ribosomal RNA", at positions 903 to 1382 of the family's 1533-position model. The record is from RNAcentral. Lineage: Bacteria; Pseudomonadati; Bacteroidota; Sphingobacteriia; Sphingobacteriales.
GCCCGACUCAGAAACUACAAAGGAAUUGACGGGGGCCCGACACAAGCGGUGGAGUAUGUGGUUUAAUUCGAUGAUACGCGAGGAACCUUACCUGGGCUCGAACGUAAGAUGACUGUAGGUGAAAGCUUACAUCUCUUCGGAGCAUUUUACGAGGUGCUGCAUGGUUGUCGUCAGCUCGUGCCGUGAGGUGUCGGGUUAAGUCCCAUAACGAGCGCAACCCCUACCUUUAGUUGCCAUCAGGUUAAGCUGGGGACUCUAAAGGAACUGCCUACGCAAGUAGUGAGGAAGGCGGGGAUGACGUCAAAUCAGCACGGCCCUUACGUCCAGGGCUACACACGUGCUACAAUGGCCGGCACAACGGGAAGCGAGUUCGCGAGGACGAGCGGAUCCCUCAAAGCCGGUCGCAGUUCGGAUUGAAGUCUGCAACUCGACUUCAUGAAGCUGGAAUCGCUAGUAAUCGUGGAUCAGCCAAGCCGCGGUGAAUACGUUCCCGGGCCUU